RNAcentral lists this long non-coding RNA (1369 nucleotides) under Macaca mulatta (Rhesus monkey). RNAcentral describes it as "lncRNA (ENSMMUG00000055365.1)". Lineage: Eukaryota; Metazoa; Chordata; Mammalia; Primates; Cercopithecidae. The record is from RNAcentral.
GAAAGGCUAAAGAAUCAGGACUACUGAAGCUAAAGAGGAAAACUCAAAUAACGAAACAUUAUUGUUUUCAAAUAUGUGACAGGUUUUUGGCUAGAAGAUAUCACUCAUACAUUUCCUGAACACAUGGAGGCCAGGGCAGACAAAAGUAAAGAUGGAAACCAGACCAGCAAGAGGUCACACAUCAUUACUGGCAGCAGAUGGAUCCCAUCUGUACCACAGAGGGCAAAGAUUUCAGUCAGUGAGUUACAGACACCACGGAUGAAAACAGGAGCCCAUCAGGGAAUCACGUAAUGAUCACAGCUAAAGGAAGCCCUGUCCUGGGAGUACUUUGCUGAUGCCUCAGCUUCUUGCUUCUAAGCUCCUGGCCCCAUUUGGUCUGAGGCAAAGAACAUUCAGAUUGGUGCCAUUUAUUUGCACCAACGUGCGGAAGAGGCGGCAGAAGUGUUGGGAGAUCUCUGAAGAACCGUGAGUUGGGGAGAGACUAAGACCAUGCUUUCUACUCUGGAAACUUGGUUUCCAACCAGUAAAGUAAGGUCUCCCAACAAAUGGAAUAAUGUGCCGUGUGGCUAUGAUGGGUGCAGAUAAUCAAUGCUCAGCACAUUUCCCCAGGGAAAGGUUUCCAGGAUGCCUUUUAAGGAAAGUAAUGAGCUGUUUGUUCCCUGGUUGUAGGAGAAGAGGGUGUUUGUUGAUCACACAUCUUUUUAAUUAGUUAUAGACACAGAUGGGGUUUUUUUCAUGUUUUUCUGACAUAUACUUACUUAUCUAAUGAAAGGUGCCCAGCAUAAAAAUGCAGGAGACAGACUUCCUUCGCCACCACAGGCGUCUUCCCUGCUUCUGUAUGAUUGGUUUAAAGUGAACCGCCCUGAAAGAGACCAUCUCCAAAGCCCUGAAGGUCCUCCAUAGAUCAUUUCAGCCUAAGGGGCCUUUUAUUUUCAUGCAGAUACAACACCAAGUGAGGUGCUCUAGGUGGGCCAAACACCACAGGUGUCAAGGAAGCUGUGUGUUAGGUUGUGUUCAUCCCGUGCAUAUUAGGGCUUUGUGUAACUUCAUGCUUCUCUCCUUCAGCAGCAAAGUAACUAUGCUUAGAAAAUCUGUUUGACCUUCUCUGAGCCCCAGCUUGUUUAUCUAUAAAAGGACGUCUAGACUGAAUGUUCCCAAGUUCCUCCCUGCUCUAAGCUCGCAAGCUGAAGUUUGUACACACAAGCAGGACCUCUGUGAAGGAGCAAAAGUCUGCUCCAUGCCCACCUGAUAACCUUCCUCGGUGCUCUUGUCUUCAGAGUUUGUUUCGAUCUCCUCUCUUGUCUGACAGGAACAGUGGGAUUUUUGCUGCAAGCUCCAGCUCAAAGGCCAUCUCCUCUCGGAGGCCUUU